Molecule: ribosomal RNA, 464 nt
Filed under: uncultured Methanomicrobiales archaeon
Lineage: Archaea; Methanobacteriati; Methanobacteriota; Methanomicrobia; Methanomicrobiales
Description: bacterial SSU rRNA
Rfam family: Archaeal small subunit ribosomal RNA
Source: RNAcentral
AGCACUACAACAGGUGGAGCCUGCGGUUUAAUCGGACUCAACGCCGGGAAACUCACCAGAUAAGACAGCUGAAUGAUAGUCGGGCUGAAGACUCUACUUGACUAGCUGAGAGGAGGUGCAUGGCCGUCGUCAGUUCGUACUGUGAAGCAUCCUGUUAAGUCAGGCAACGAGCGAGACCCACGCCAACAGUUGCCAGCUCGUCCUCCGGGAUGGUGGGGACACUGUUGGGACCGCCUCUGCUAAAGAGGAGGGAGGAAUGGGCAACGGUAGGUCAGCAUGCCCCGAAUUAUCUGGGCUACACGCGGGCUACAAUGGGUGGGACAAUGGGUAUCGACACCGAAAGGUGAAGGCAAUCUCCUAAACCCAUCCGUAGUUCGGAUUGUGGGCUGCAACUCGCCCACAUGAAGCUGGAAUCUGUAGUAAUCGCGUUUCAACAGAACGCGGUGAAUACGUCCCUGCUCCUU